GGAGGAGAAAGAGCUUCCUGAGACAGCUCAAGCAGCGGCUUCUGGCAGCUCUGAGGGCGCUCCAGCCUCCAAAACGGCAGCAGCAAAUGAGCAUGGACCACUCGCUGCACCUUCGCCAGCACCGGCAGCAGCUGUUCCUGCAGUCCUGCAGAACGGCGCUGUUGCACUUCCCAAGGAGCAGCCAGCAAAUGGCAGACCCCAUGUUGCAGCGCUCACGGAUGCGCAGCUCUCA
This 232-nucleotide long non-coding RNA is filed under the name Coccomyxa subellipsoidea. RNAcentral describes it as "long non-coding RNA (CSUB_LNC000018)". Lineage: Eukaryota; Viridiplantae; Chlorophyta; Trebouxiophyceae; Coccomyxaceae. The record is from RNAcentral.